This 81-nucleotide transfer RNA is filed under the name Candidatus Tayloriibacteriota bacterium. Its description in RNAcentral is "tRNA-Leu". It matches the Rfam family "tRNA". From Rfam's summary of the family: Transfer RNA (tRNA) molecules are approximately 80 nucleotides in length. Their secondary structure includes four short double-helical elements and three loops (D, anti-codon, and T loops). The record is from RNAcentral. Lineage: Bacteria; Candidatus Tayloriibacteriota.
GGGCGGGUGGUGAAAUGGCAGACACACUAGCCUUAGGAGCUAGCGCCGCAAGGCAUGGGGGUUCAAGUCCCCCCUCGCCCA